AUGGUGGAGGGGUUGCGCGUGGGGAUGGUAUGGUAUGGUAUGCUUAGAAUCAAUUGAUGAUUCAUGGAAAGAGAAGGAAGAUGUUUUCCCCCUGCAUUCUGCAUAUUCUGCAAACGUCAGAAAGGCAUGUCGCUGUUCGGAGAAGGCAAGGGGAAAAAUGGAAGAGGUCCCCACUGAGAGUCACAUCAGCACAAGAAAACGAGGGGAAAAGAAAAAAAGGCCAUCAAAAGACGUGCAAUUGACCUACAGUGACUGUAACAUUAUUAUUAAUUCAUUCUAACCAGUAA
This 287-nucleotide long non-coding RNA is filed under the name Prunus dulcis (almond). RNAcentral describes it as "sRNA ncRNA". The record is from RNAcentral. Lineage: Eukaryota; Viridiplantae; Streptophyta; Magnoliopsida; Rosales; Rosaceae.